GGUUGUGUAGUGUAGCGGUUAGCACGUGGGAUUUUGAUUACAUCUUCAGAUAUGUCAGAAUAGCCUUCCCGAGUCCCCGGUUCGAUCCCGGGCACGACCU
Molecule: non-coding RNA, 100 nt
Organism: Delphinella strobiligena
Lineage: Eukaryota; Fungi; Ascomycota; Dothideomycetes; Dothideales; Dothioraceae
Source: the annotation of a GenBank genome assembly